This 2694-nucleotide long non-coding RNA is filed under the name Spirodela polyrhiza (greater duckweed). RNAcentral describes it as "long non-coding RNA (SPOL_LNC002488)". The record is from RNAcentral. Lineage: Eukaryota; Viridiplantae; Streptophyta; Magnoliopsida; Alismatales; Araceae.
UCAAGAACACUAGGAACAUAUUUAUAUAUAUAACAAGAUCAGGCAAUCAUUCACACUAUGAGUGAUGAGUAAUUCCAUUCAGAUUUUGCAGUGCGAGUAUACAAUCUUAGGUUUAUGAGGCGAGUCUACAGGCCUCAGAUUCUUCCAGCCUCUAAUCUUGAUGCACAACCAUUAAAUGCACUUGUUCUAAAAAAAGGAACCCACCCACAAAUGGCCACAACCUCCCCUCAUGAUAGAGCCAAAGAACACUCACAAACAAGAGGAGAAGUCAUAAUUACUGCAUUUGGAUCCUCAGCAGCCAACACUGGAGCAGGCUGAUUGACUGGUUUAGUACUCUUCCUAGAUCUGACCUGCUCCAUCAUAUAAUGAGAAGAAAAAAUCAAUAACAUGGCAUAAUUAGAAAUCAAUGUCACAAUAUGCAUGUCGGCACCGAAAUUGGUGCAUGGGAUCCGCCCCCCCUCCCCCACAAACCGGGAAAUCAAGGAUAGAUCUUUGUGAGUGAUCCAUGCGGCCAUGUAAGAGAUACCCAACCCAUUUUCUGAGCUUCACCGUGAUAUUCAAGCCAUGGAUGACCGAUAAAUCUGAAAGAGGCCGAGUUAGUGGCUGUAGAUUCAUGCUCUCUCUUGCCAGAAGCAGAGAUAGAAGUUGACUUCUUUAUGGGAGAGCGUGGGGACUGUGACGUCAGCAACGCCUGUGGCUCAUUUACUCGCCAGAUUUAUUCUUUGCUUGGAAGCAGCAGGUUCAUCAAAUGGGCCUCUGUAGUCUGCAAUUUUACCCUAAAAAUAGAACUGGGCAGAGAAGAAAAAAAAUAAUAUUACCAUGAAUAUCCCCGUCGAGAAACAAGACAGAAGUUUGACCAGAAAUGCGGACGAACUCCUCCACAGUUUUAUUAUCUUUUUGCCAAAAUGGCAGCAUAAAAAGUGAGGAAGUCAUCACUGUGAAGAAGGUUUCUGGGACGAAGAAGCACCGAGGCUUUUACCUUAAAAGGCCAUGGGACGAGGACAUAUUGGAUGGAAACAUAAACAAAAGGAUAACAAGUAAUAGCAAUGAACGGAGUAUAUAUAUAUACAUCAAAGGGAUGUAGAUCAUAAUCACCAAGAAAAGCUAUCAAAACCAAGAGAUUCAUCAACGAAACAGAAAGAUUAUUUAGGCAUAUAAAAUUCUACAAUUACAUCAUUAGUCAUACCGUGGAAAAAUGCCAGCUCUUGCAGAGGUCUUCAGGGAGCCAGGAAAGGGUCGUUGAAUUAGUCCUAAAGGUACAAAGACAAUUCAGCAAGAAGCAAAUCAACAGAAGCUCAGAGAAAGAUACAGCGCCUGUAUUACUAAAAGUGCCCGGCAUAAUCAAGAAAACAGAUUUUCAGGAAAAUACCAUCAAAUAAAGAAAGAGGUAGAUGUUCAUGUCUGUUUUCUACUGUUUGUAAUGUCACAUGGUAUCAGCUGCUAAAACAACAUUGCGGAUAAAGAAGUCAACAACAAAAGCCAAAUAAUGAACAUGCCUCCCCCUCAUACACUUGACAUCUAAUGACGUCCUGGUGACCAUAACUGCUCAUGGCUAGUGGUUCUAUCAGAGUAUGCCAACCUCGGCCAUAAACUAGUCCAUAAUGAAAGGGAGGCACAAGAUCUCUGCUAGCAUGAGGACUCCAGAUGGGAGUAACAACUUACCCCCCCAUGCACGUAAUGAGCACAUGUUAUCCAACAUCUUAGCCUGAUAUUUUGCCGUCUAGGCCUGGGUCGCUCUGACCUAUUCCCAGAUCCCUAUAAAUGUAACUAAAUCAGGAAAGAUGAUAAUUCGUCAGUCUGAUUGGGAAUCGGAUAAUAUUACAUCCAUAGAAGAAUAUCAGAUGUCUCUCCCAAAUGACUCAUAGAAUAUAUAUAUAUAAAAAUGCUCACCUCUAUGACAACUCAUAUCAGGUCAUAUUCAUCAUUGAAUGAAUCACCUAAUAUAUGUUAAGGAUAUGUUGGCUCACACAAGUGGACCCCAAUUCCCUCAGAAAGUAGAUCUUUAUUGUAUUAGGACGACUAAAUAAAUCCUGUGAUAUUUUUCAAUACUUCCUACCAAAUAUAAGUUCCAUUAUUCCAACUCAGCUGUGUCAGAGGAGAAUUGGCUGAUUUCUCAGACCAACCUACACAGCAGAGCCUGGCAGACAUUAGUUCUACAAUCAACUUCUUCCAUUAAAUUAAUCUCCUGCUCAUAUCUUCGUGUUCAUGAUAAAUCACAAAUACUUGACCUGAUGUCACAUAUUGCCACGAUGAACAAAAUCCUUCAUGGCUUGCAUACAAGUGGUAACUAAACUGUCGAGGUGGCCAUAGAGCAUGGGAGGAGAGGAUAUCCACCAAGGGUGGUUUUGUUGUGAACUCAUUUCUAAUUGGGCUUUAUCUUCUAUCAAGGGGCUCUCAUGCAUGUUUGGAAACUGCCCAUGAAGACCUCUGGUUUAAAGGUAAAUUACUUUUUCCUGAAGAUAUCAUACCCUUGAGUCCAAAAGUUAUACACGGGUCCAUAGAACAUGGAAAGCCCUCAUGUUGAUGAUGGCUCCGCGUUAGAUGAAAACGGUCUCCGUGGAGUUUUAUUCCUAUCCAAUUGAAGGGGAUAAUACGAGCAAUAAAUUCCCAUCAGUGCUGUUGAAACUCAUGUUUAGGAUAAUGGGAACUUGCCAUCACACGGAGAUUUGAAGAAUGUGACCCAGAAAUCAAUAC